Non-coding RNA from Myotis davidii, 83 nucleotides. NCBI's taxonomy places the organism in Eukaryota, Metazoa, Chordata, Mammalia, Chiroptera, Vespertilionidae. The record is from Rfam.
AGGCCUGCAGAGAGAGAGGCAGGGUCUGAUCUGCAACCUCAGUGGCAGCUGUUGAUCAGCCCUUGUCUCUCUCUUUCUCUCCC